ACGUAGGGGGCGAGCGUUAAUCGGAAUUACUGGGCGUAAAGCGAGCGCAGGCGGGGGAAUAAGACAGCCGUGAAAACCACGGGCUUAACCCGUGAAAUGCGGUUGAAACUGUUUUUCUAGAGUGGAGUAGAGGUAGGCGGAAUUCCGAGUGUAGCGGUGAAAUGCGUAGAUAUUCGGAGGAACACCAGUGGCGAAGGCGGCCUACUGGGCUCUAACUGACGCGGAGGCUCGAAAGUGUGGGGAGCAAACAG
Molecule: ribosomal RNA, 251 nt
Filed under: uncultured prokaryote
Description: partial 16S rRNA
Rfam family: Bacterial small subunit ribosomal RNA
Source: RNAcentral